Molecule: long non-coding RNA, 1599 nt
Filed under: Carica papaya (papaya)
Lineage: Eukaryota; Viridiplantae; Streptophyta; Magnoliopsida; Brassicales; Caricaceae
Description: long non-coding RNA (CPAP_LNC016333)
Source: RNAcentral
CUUGAUCUGAAAUGAUUAAAUAAGGAAUGAGCUACACUAGCCCAGUAAAGACAUCACGAUAUCUCACCGUCACGGAAGUAAAGGUGGGUAGAAAACACAAAAAGACCAAUGGAGCAUAAUUUACAACAAAUCCUUUUAUCGAAAAUAAAACCUUUACCAUUUACUUACCUCGGUGAAAUUCAUAAAACGAUAUACGAAAGCAAUAACAUCAUCAUCAUCAUGAAAACAUAUAUAUGAACUGUAUAACAUAAUACCUAUCACACUUUUCGUAAUUCAAUCGUUACACAACAUAUUUUCCUAAUUCACCAGCCCACUAGUAUCCAUGGGGAUCCAUAGGGGUCCCGCUACCCGUUAAUCCUUAACACUUGAAAUCAUAUUCCAGGGCCGUCCCCAUACCCCGUCCGGUAUGGGCGCCAAAACACAUAAGAUCUCCAUACCCCGUCCGGUAUGGGAGACCACAAUCCCGGUAGGGUUCCCUACGGACCCGGUCCGUCCACCAUCUCCCAGGAUAUCUAGUCAGGCUGAACACAUUAUACAAUUUCCAUUCACAUAAUCUUUCAUUCUCCUUUUUCCCUCAGUUAGCAUUAUCAAUCACAUACAAACACGCAAAACGAUAAUUUAUGCCAAACAGACAACAUACAGCAUCAAUAUCCCGGUCAUUCAAUCCAUAAUCAAUAAAACAGUAAAAUAUGCACACGAAACUAUAAAAUGAAAACAUUGAACCUCAUGCUGCAUUUAAAAUUGUAAAACAGGCCAAAUAACAGUUAACCGACAAACACACUAGACUCGGGCUCCAUUAGCGACCUUAAGCAAUUUCACACAUUCGUUGAUUCACGAAAUACCAUUUUAUCAUUUAUUGAACUUUAAUACCGUGAUAGGAAAUAAGGUGAGGGGUCCUUACUCGUUUCGGGGUCCGAACACGGCUUCACAGUGCGCUUGCAGGCUGUCCCUAAUUUUCCCUGACUUUUCCUCGGGGAACUGAAACGCACUACUGGUACCUGCACGUGUUCCAAAAAAAAAUCCAAAUUAGGCCCAGGGCCUCUUUCGGCCCAAAUCGCAACUCCGGCACGGCGGCUCCGCCGUGCUCCGGCGACGGUGCCGCCGCUGGCGGCGGCGAGUUACCUCGGGUUGGCUGUUUUCGGCCGUUUUCGGCCACACUCGCAUCGGUCCCUGUGAGAAAACAACCCUAGGGCCCUCGGGGGGCCAAAAAAUCACGGAAAAACGGAGCUUACCGGCGGCGGCGCUCUCGGGUGCGGCGGCUCUCCGGCGAGGUUCGUGUUUUGGUGAUUCGGGUCCGGUCAACCUGUAGUGAAAAGAAUGGUGAUCACGGUGAUAUAAAAAUUGCAUCAAACGGAGGCCGGGAAGGGCCUCAUCGGAGGCAAAAACUGAGAAGGGGCGCGGCGGUGCCGCUGGGCUUCGACCGUGUAUUCCGGCCGUUUGGCCGGGAUUUUGGCUCCGAUUUGGCCACAGGAGGAAUCAGCAUGGAAAAACGAGUCGGGGGUACGAAAUUUACCUCGAUCGGCGGUCGGAAGUUCCUCCGAUGCGGCGGCGGGUGGCGACGGCCGGCUUCUGGUUCGUCUUCUCCGGCGAGCGGCAGAC